This is a long non-coding RNA of Callithrix jacchus (white-tufted-ear marmoset), 5342 nucleotides long. RefSeq lists it as uncharacterized. The record is from RefSeq and is a predicted model, not a curated record. Lineage: Eukaryota; Metazoa; Chordata; Mammalia; Primates; Cebidae.
CAUUUUCAGGCAACUGAGAAUCAUAUGAGGGUGUUUGGAAGGAACGCUCCCUAAGACAUGAAGUGGCUGUAAAUAAGUAUCCACCUCAGAGGAACAUACUGAUGGGCUAAUAUCAGUUGGUAGGUGCAUAUUAGGAGCUGACUCCUCCUGCACUUGAGCCCCUGACACACUGUGCCAGGUAGCUGCAACACAGGUGAACUAGACUCGUUCAGGGAUAACAGCUUUGAAACGGUAGGUCUGCUAGCAGCACAUUUCGGGUCUGACAGACGUCCCGACUUGGUCAAAUCCAAAUGGGAACUGGAAAUGUUGGAGAACAAGGCCUCUGAAGUGGGAAGAAAACAGCCAUCAAACGGAAAAAAGAAAAGAAAAGAAAAGAAAGAUAUUUGAUUUUGACUACAAAGGGAUUUUAUUUACAUAACAAAGCCAACUUUUUGCCAGCCAGAUCAAAAGUGAAAGAGCAACGACUGUACUUCUGAAAUAGCAGCAUUUUGUCCUAGCUGAACUAUGAUGCAGUGGCUCACGCCAGUAAUCCCAGUACUUUGGGAGGCCUAGGUGAGCGGAUCAGGAAGUCAGGAGUUCAAGACCAGCCUGAUCAACGUGGUGAAACCUCAUCUCUACUAAAAAUACAAAAAUUAGCCACCUGUGGAGGUGCAUGCUUGUAAUCCCAGCUACUCAGGAGGCUGAGGCUGGCUACUCAGGAGGAUGAAAGCUUGAACCCAGGAGGCGGAGGUUGUGGCGAGCCAAGAUUUUGUCACUGAACUCUCAGCCUGGACGAUAGAGUGAGACUCCAUCUUAAAAAAAAUCGGCUUUCAUUUUUAACAGAACACAGUUGGAGAAACUGGUUAUCUUACCAAUGCUUUGACUGAAAUGGUGUGCUUUCCUUUAAGGAAUCAAACUUGACUUAUGAAACCAACAAUUUCCUUGGAAAAACUGACCUCAUAUUUUAUGUAUGAAGUCCCUGUUCAGGGUUUCUGCCCUGCGGUAUGUAAAAGAUAUCACUUUCUGAAAGGCCCAGAAGCUCUAGGUUUAUCUUGAAACCUCAAGUGGAGAGGAAAUUUAUCCAUCAUAGAUAUUUGAUGGCACAAAUCCAUUUUUUUAAAGCUCAGCUUUAAAAAUCUUAUCUGAGAUUUCUUCUAUGGAACAAGUUUCCACCAAAGACAAUUUAAAAGCAUAUGUUAAAAAUAACUUCUCACUGCAUUGUAUACAAAUAAUUUGAUGAAGUAAAAUAAGGCAAAAUAGUCCUACCAUAAUUUGUAUUUGGCAAAAAUGGGAAAGUGAAGAGAGAAAAAUUAUGUUUCAAAAAGUAUAGUACCUGUAUUGUUAGAUUAUAGUCAGUGUUUUUCAAUUUUUAUUUUCUAUAGUUUGGACCAAAUUCUAAUUUUUCUUGGCUACAAGUCUUCAAAAAAAUGUUUUUAAUUUUUUUCUUUCUCUAUUCCCCCAUUGUUCCUAAUUUGGAUCUCUAAAAUCUAAGCUGUGCUUUCUUAGAGCCCUGCAAACUGAAGUCAGAGAACUUAAACUUCAGAUGAAAGUAAUAGCAACUUUUUUUCAUACAUCAGCCACUUUUCAUACCUGCCUACUGAUUUAUGGACUUCAAAGUAAUAUAGCCUUUAUUAAUUUUUCCAGGAUUGUUCUUUUGUUUCUUGCUGUUUUUCUCCCUUUCUCUUCCUAUUUUCUCUUCAUAGAGCAUGGAAGACUUCGCAAUCUGCCAAAGAUUAGCUUUUGGGACCUACCCAUCUAGUAAUAAACCGUCCUAACCAUGAGAAAUCGGAAGAAACCUGAAACCAGAGACUCACGUUCUCCUAAAAUGCUUUCUCCUAAAGAUUUUUUAAAAAGGGAAGGGGGAAUGUGAAAGGGAAUUAUUUUGGGCCCCUUCAAACUGGGAACUGCUCAGGGCAAACCUGUCUCUCAUUCUAUUCGAAGUCAUUUCUCUGCUCACUGAGAUAGAUGCACAUUCUGAUUGCCUCUUUUGGAAAGGCCUAUCAGGAACUAAAAUAAAAAUGCAACCAUUUGUCUUCCACUUAUAUGAGACCUUGAAGCCCCCUCUCUGCCUCAAGUUGUCCCCACCUUUCUGGAUAGAACCAAUGCACUUCUUAGAUAUAUUAAUUGAUAUCUCAUGUCUUCCCAAAAUGCAUAAAACCCACUGUGCCCUGACUACCUUGGACUCCCUCAAGACUUCCUGAGGUUGUAUCAUGGGCACUCGUCCUUAACUUUGGCAAAUAAACCUCCUAAAAUGAUUGAGACUUGUCUCAUUGUUUUUCUCAAUUGACAAAUGAUAGUUCAAGACCUCUAUAGUUUUCCAUAGAUCACAUUUCAUCUUAGAUAGGUUCAGGUAAGUAUUUACAAUUACUGUUAGUUGUCUUGUUUCCUCUGGCCUUCUUUUCACCUAGUUGUCUUAUAGUCGCUUCCUUCUUGGCUGUUUUCUUUGACUCAUUUGCUUAGAAAAUCAUUUUACCCUCUUCAUUUUGCAAUUAAAACCCCUGACCUUAUGUAAAAUUCAAAUCUCUGUUUCUCCUGGCCCUUUUAUAACCCUUUAAGAAACACUUAACUGUCUAGUCUGGAGAAAUAUGUCAGUAUUACUUACUUAUGGAACAUUGCAUUGAAUUUGUAGAUUUUCAUUGCAUUCUAAAAAUAUUUGGAAAAUUCUAGUUUGUAAAAAUUUGAUAAUAACGUUUGAACUGACCAUAUGGCUAAUACUUGAAUGAGUCAAAAGUAUUAAUCAAAUACAUUACAAGUAUGGGUAGGUAUAUUCAUUAACGCUGGCAGUGUUCUGUUUGGACAGAAAGAAAAAUCUUGAAUGGGAUACAAAAGGAAGCUAUGAAGAGUGCCUUACUGAAAAUUCUUUAAAAGUAGCCAAUGGCAUCAUUCACUUGGAUUGGCAGGUGAGUGUAGGUACACCAAGUUUAUUUUUCAUUUUUGUCAUUAAUUGUAUGAUUUUUGGAUACUUGAUUCAUCAGCAUUUCAGAAUCCUCAUUUAUAAUACCAUGAUAGUAAAGUAGAAUGCCUCUAAAUGUGUAAUACUAGAAGUGGUUAUGCAAGACAGAAGGUCAGAAUUAACCUAGGAUGGGAGCUAUACCAGGAACCCUUGAAGAUAACACCACUGCAUUGCUUAGUUGUUUGAACAUCUGCCUCCCAAGGCUAGACACUUAGAACUUAUUAGGUCAAUUACAGCUUUCCAAAAGCUAGGGUAGGUCAGUCUAUUUAUAUUAUAUUCUUUGUAUAACAACUAGGUUUUCUAUCACUUUUCCAGAUAUACAUUUUAUGGUUUGUCAUAUAUAUAUGUAGAGUUUUUUUCUAAAACACAUUAUCAUAUUUACAUAAACAUAGUUCUAAAAUUAUUGUUAAAUGCAUAGAGUUUUCUUAAAAUAUCUAUAUACAUUGCAACUUAGGAUCUCUGGUUUUCCUUAUUUUGUGGCAUAAACAUUUCCUGGAGUCAUAGUAAUUUAAGUAAGUAGGAUAGCUAAAAAUCUGCAGUUUAUGCUUUCAAAUUUUGUCUGUUUAGUUUCUAAGUUAAUAAUUAUAUAAAAUCCAUAGGAAUCUAGACUAAACUAACAAAAAUUGAAAAAUAUCCAAUGUGUGGGAGCUAUCUGACAUGGCAAAAUAGUCUGAUCAAAUUUGUUGAAACCCCCACCCGUUCUUGCUUGUCUUGAAUCUGGCUAGGUUGAAGCAAAUUCAGUACCUGGUUCACAUUGAAGAGCAGGCUCAAGCCUCUUCCAGAGACACUCACUUUUCUCUUUGUUUGGAUAGUUUCACCAUGAUUAAAAGUAAAACAAUUUCCAUAUUCAGUGAAGACAUGUGCAAAAUCCUCCAAUAUAUAAAUAAACCAAAAAAACCCCAUCAAUUUGAUAGUUUUGUCACUUCUAAAGUUUAAUUACUAUAACAUUUUCUUCAAAAGUACAAAUAUCUAACAAGACUGCAGAAAUAUCAGAGAGAUAGUCUGAUUUAUAUGUAUAUACAAUGAUAGUUUUCUUUUUUCUGGUAAUACGCGUUUGUCAACUUGCAUGUGAUUAUUUAAAGGAGACAUUUACACAUAAAAUUAAGAAUGUAUUUCACAACAUUUUUAAAAAUUACUUGUUUUAUAUUUUCCUGAAGAUGUAUGGAAACAUGUUUUUCCCUGAAGUAGUGGAGCACUACUUCAGCAUCCUUUCUUGGAGGGGCUAUGCCUUCUGCAACCUGCAUGCUCAGUGUGGCAGUCAAUCACAUAACUCCAUUCCCUUGACCCUCCUUUUCCAGCCACUACAAAGGCAUGCAUGGGACACAAGUUGGGCCAAGCUUAAACCUCACCUUCUUGACUCUGUGGUUGGUUCAAGAAUUGAUAUGUGUCCCAAGUAGAGCUAAUCAGAUUCUUUGGUGAGAUUAUUAAGUGGAUACUGGAGUGAUAAACUCUGAUAAUGAAAGUCUAGGGGGAAUCAGCAGCCAUUCUGGCGAAGUGUGGGGAGAACUCAUACAGAAAGAAGCCAACCAGAAUUAUGAGAUGGAAACAAAGUCAGAAUCUUAAAGAUAGUCUUGGAGUCCAUUGGUUUACCAUUUUCUGAAGCCAGACCUACUCUUGGAGUUCCCGCUUAAUAAAGCUGACUCAUUACUUUUACAUUUCAGUUUACUGUAACAGAAAUGGGAUUCUGUAAUAUGCAACUGAAAAAGUCAUCCCUAAAAUGAAAUUUCUUGGUGGUAAGUUAAACAUGUUGGUAAAUAAAAACAGCAUAGGAAAGCUUAUUUUCCAAAUUAAGAGUUUAGACCAGAACCUCACCUCUGUGAAGUGUCUCUCAGGCAUUACUUUACUGCUUACUGUGUGCUAAGAUGGCCUACCAAAAAGAUAAGAAAUUGUAACCCAGAACCAAGAAUUUGUGAAGUUCCUUAGACUCCCUUAACAACCCAGGCUACAGAAUUGCUGAUACAAGAAAUAUGGCAUCAAAUUGCCUACAUACUUCCUUGUUAAUAGAUUACAGAUAUAUCUAGUACUUUAUCUUAAAUGUAGAUUCAUUUUAUAAAUAAUAACAUAAUUUUGUAUUUGUUAUGCAUUUGUGUUGUAUUUGUACUUAUUAUGAGUGAAUGUAUAUUAUAUAUAAUUAUGUUAUUAUAUAUAAUAUAUAAUUAAAGUGUAUAUAAUGUUCAUAGUUAAAUGCUGGAGUCCUCUUGUUUUCUAUAGCCUCUAAUGCAAUACCGAAAGAAUAAAAGCAGAGUGAUGGAUACUUGGUGAUUAUAAAAAUGCUAUGUUGGAAUAGAUUGUUUGUUGAUAAGUGAAAAAAAUUAAAAUACCCUUUUGUGUUAAAUUGUUUUUAUUUUGGAAGGACUAUACUACAAGAAAGGCAAUAAAGUUUUCUCUUUUCUUUCUUUUCUUAUCUAAA